This 45-nucleotide non-coding RNA is filed under the name Schistosoma margrebowiei. The record is from RNAcentral. Lineage: Eukaryota; Metazoa; Platyhelminthes; Trematoda; Strigeidida; Schistosomatidae.
AUCCAGCUAACGAGUCCUAGAUAGGACGAGACGUGCGUCCUGGAU